RNAcentral lists this ribosomal RNA (440 nucleotides) under uncultured bacterium. RNAcentral describes it as "partial 16S ribosomal RNA". It matches the Rfam family "Bacterial small subunit ribosomal RNA", at positions 338 to 795 of the family's 1533-position model. The record is from RNAcentral.
CCUACGGGAGGCAGCAGUGGGGAAUAUUGCACAAUGGGGAAACCCUGAUGCAGCGACGCCGCGUGAGUGAAGUAGUAUUUCGGUAUGUAAAGCUCUAUCAGCUGGAACGAGACAAGACGGUACCUGACUAAGAAGCCCCGGCUAACUACGUGCCAGCAGCCGCGGUUAUACGUAGGGGGCAAGCGUUAGCCGGAAUCACUGGGUGUAAAGGGGGCGUAGACGGCUGUGCAAGCCUGAAGUGAAAGGCGGGGGCCCAACCCCUGGACUGCUUUGGGAACUGUACGGCUGGAGUGCAGGAGAGGUAAGUGGAAUUCCUAGUGUAGCGGUGAAAUGCGUAGAUAUUAGGAGGAACACCAGUGGCGAAGGCGGCUUACUGGACUGUAACUGACGUUGAGGCACGAAAGCGUGGGGAGCAAACAGGAUUAGAUACCCGUGUAGUC